This 523-nucleotide ribosomal RNA is filed under the name uncultured bacterium. RNAcentral's name for it is "bacterial SSU rRNA". It matches the Rfam family "Bacterial small subunit ribosomal RNA", at positions 874 to 1398 of the family's 1533-position model. The record is from RNAcentral.
UGGGGAGUACGUUCGCAAGAAUGAAACUCAAAGGAAUUGACGGGGGCCCGCACAAGCGGUGGAGCAUGUGGCUUAAUUCGAUGCAACGCGAAGAACCUUACCCGGGCUAAAUCCACGGUGACCGGUCCCGAAACGGACCUUCCCUUCGGGGCACCAUGGAAGGUGCUGCAUGGCUGUCGUCAGCUCGUGCCGUGAGGUGUUGCCUUAAGUGGCGCAACGAGCGCAACCCCUGUGGUUAGUUACCAGCACGUAAUGGUGGGGACUCUAGCCAGACUGCCUACGCAAGUAGUGAGGAAGGUGGGGACGACGUCAAGUCAUCAUGGCCCUUAUGUCCGGGGCUGCACACGUGCUACAAUGGACGGUACAGCGGGAAGCCACCACGCAAGUGGGCGCAGAUCCCGAAAGCCGUUCCCAGUUCGGAUUGGAGUCUGCAACUCGACUCCAUGAAGGUGGAAUCGCUAGUAAUCGCGUAUCAGCAACGACGCGGUGAAUACGUUCCCGGGCCUUGCACACACCGCCCGUC